Molecule: long non-coding RNA, 331 nt
Organism: Osmerus eperlanus (European smelt)
Lineage: Eukaryota; Metazoa; Chordata; Actinopteri; Osmeriformes; Osmeridae
Exons: 3
Source: RefSeq, a predicted model, not a curated record
CCACCAUGCCUUCAUCGAGGAGUAUGGACGACGAAGAAAAUGUAUUAAGACACCAGAGUGUCUUAAUAAAUCGAAAAGCAAACAUUGUUAUAUGCAUAUUACUUCAGUCAAGCACGAGGAGGGUGACUGAGGUUGGAGAAAACAACAUGGUGCAGUUGGAGAGCUUGGAUGGCCAACAACUGAAGACCAGGACACCCUAUGUCUCACUGAAGCCUCGGCGGAAGAGCUACAUGCAUUGGACUCCAGGACCCUGUGUCCCAUCCAUCUGAGACAGUGUGCUUGGAUGGGCCUGAACCUCUGUGCUCAGAGUUGGAGGAGGACUGUCUUCAGG